UCAGGUAGUUGGUGAGGUAACGGCUCACCAAGCCUACGACGGGUAGCCGGCCUGAGAGGGUGACCGGCCACACUGGGACUGAGACACGGCCCAGACUCCUACGGGAGGCAGCAGUGGGGAAUAUUGCACAAUGGGCGCAAGCCUGAUGCAGCAACGCCGCGUGAGGGACGACGGCCUUCGGGUUGUAAACCUCUUUUAGUAGGGAAGAAGCGAAAGUGACGGUACCUGCAGAAAAAGCACCGGCUAACUACGUGCCAGCAGCCGCGGUAAUACGUAGGGUGCAAGCGUUGUCCGGAAUUAUUGGGCGUAAAGAGCUCGUAGGCGGUUUGUCGCGUCUGCUGUGAAAACCCGAGGCUCAACCUCGGGCCUGCAGUGGGUACGGGCAGACUAGAGUGCGGUAGGGGAGAAUGGAAUUCCUGGUGUAGCGGUGGAAUGCGCAGAUAUCAGGAGGAACACCGAUGGCGAAGGCAGUUCUCUGGGCCGUAACUGACGCUGAGGAGCGAAAGCGUGGGGAGCGAACAGGAUUAGAUACCCUGGUAGUCCACGCCGUAAACGUUGGGCGCUAGAUGUGGGGACCAUUCCACGGUUUCCG
Molecule: ribosomal RNA, 592 nt
Filed under: Cryocola sp.
Lineage: Bacteria; Bacillati; Actinomycetota; Actinomycetes; Micrococcales; Microbacteriaceae
Description: bacterial SSU rRNA
Rfam family: Bacterial small subunit ribosomal RNA
Source: RNAcentral